CUACGGGUGGCUCCAGUGAGGAAUUUUCUGCAAUGGGCGCAAGCCUGACAGAGCGACGCCGUGUGUGGGAUGAAGUCUUUCGGGAUGUAAACCACUGUCAGAGGGGACGAUAUUGACGGUACCCUCAGAGGAAGCCCCGGCUAACUACGUGCCAGCAGCCGCGGUAAUACGUAGGGGGCAAGCGUUGUCCGGAAUCAUUGGGCGUAAAGGGCGCGUAGGCGGUCCAGCAAGUCAGAUGUUAAAUCUGCAGGCUUAACCUGCAGCCGCAUUUGAUACUGCCGGACUAGAGAAUGGUAGAGGUAAGCGGAACUGCCGGUGUAGCGGUGAAAUGCGUAGAUAUCGGCAGGAACACCAGUGGCGAAGGCGGCUUACUGGGCCAUUUCUGACGUUGAGGCGCGAAAGCCAGGGGAGCAAACGGGAUUAGAUACCCGGGUAAUC
RNAcentral lists this ribosomal RNA (438 nucleotides) under uncultured bacterium. RNAcentral describes it as "partial 16S ribosomal RNA". It matches the Rfam family "Bacterial small subunit ribosomal RNA", at positions 339 to 795 of the family's 1533-position model. The record is from RNAcentral.